Molecule: ribosomal RNA, 253 nt
Filed under: uncultured bacterium
Lineage: Bacteria
Description: partial 16S ribosomal RNA
Rfam family: Bacterial small subunit ribosomal RNA
Source: RNAcentral
UACGUAGGGGGCAAGCGUUGUCCGGAAUCAUUGGGCGUAAAGCGCGUGUAGGCGGCUCGAUAAGUCUGCUGUGAAAGUCCAGGGCUCAACCCUGGAAUGCCGGUGGAAACUGUCGAGCUAGAGUCCGGAAGAGGCGAGUGGAAUUCCUGGUGUAGCGGUGAAAUGCGCAGAUAUCAGGAGGAACACCAAUGGCGAAGGCAGCUCGCUGGGACGGUACUGACGCUGAGGAGCGAAAGCGUGGGGAGCGAACAGG